AGAGCUCAAAUUUAAAAUCUGGCAAUCCUUGUGGUUGUCCGAGUUGUAAUCUAGAGAAGUGCUAUCCGCGCUGGACCGUGUACAAGUCUCCUGGAAUGGAGCGUCACAGAGGGUGAGAAUCCCGUCUUUGACACGGACCCCCAGGGCUUAUGUGAUGUGCUCUCAAAGAGUCGAGUUGUUUGGGAAUGCAGCUCUAAAUGGGUGGUAAAUUCCAUCUAAAGCUAAAUAUUGGCGAGAGACCGAUAGCGAA
This 250-nucleotide ribosomal RNA is filed under the name Tricholomataceae sp. 2 CRJH-2017. RNAcentral describes it as "partial 28S ribosomal RNA". It matches the Rfam family "Eukaryotic large subunit ribosomal RNA", at positions 104 to 344 of the family's 3401-position model. Lineage: Eukaryota; Fungi; Basidiomycota; Agaricomycetes; Agaricales; Tricholomataceae. The record is from RNAcentral.